AGCGAACGCUGGCGGCGUGCUUAACACAUGCAAGUCGAACGGUAAGGCCCUUCGGGGUACACGAGUGGCGAACGGGUGAGUAACACGUGGGUGAUCUGCCCUGCACUUCGGGAUAAGCCUGGGAAACUGGGUCUAAUACCGGAUAGGACCACUGCCUGCAUGGGUGGUGGUGGAAAGCUUUUGCGGUGUGGGAUGGGCCCGCGGCCUAUCAGCUUGUUGGUGGGGUGAUGGCCUACCAAGGCGACGACGGGUAGCCGGCCUGAGAGGGUGACCGGCCACACUGGGACUGAGAUACGGCCCAGACUCCUACGGGAGGCAGCAGUGGGGAAUAUUGCACAAUGGGCGCAAGCCUGAUGCAGCGACGCCGCGUGAGGGAUGACGGCCUUCGGGUUGUAAACCUCUUUCAGCAUCGACGAAGCGAAAGUGACGGUAGGUGCAGAAGAAGGACCGGCCAACUACGUGCCAGCCGCCGCCGUAA
This 478-nucleotide ribosomal RNA is filed under the name uncultured bacterium. Its description in RNAcentral is "partial 16S ribosomal RNA". It matches the Rfam family "Bacterial small subunit ribosomal RNA", at positions 28 to 523 of the family's 1533-position model. The record is from RNAcentral.